Ricinus communis (castor bean) is the source of this 185-nucleotide long non-coding RNA. RefSeq lists it as uncharacterized. The transcript has 2 exons. The record is from RefSeq and is a predicted model, not a curated record. NCBI's taxonomy places the organism in Eukaryota, Viridiplantae, Streptophyta, Magnoliopsida, Malpighiales, Euphorbiaceae.
CACUUCUCCAACUUGUAUGGAGGUAGAGGUGCAGCGUCCACAGUGACCAGGGUGGAUUAGGCUUCUAUGGUCCAGCCAGCAGGAAAACUCAUCAACUACAGGAUUCCAAGGAGUAGUGUAGAAAAUCAGACAGAUCGUGCAGAAAAUGAAAAUACAAUUCAAUAGUUAAUUUUAUUCACACCAAA